UACGGAGGGUGCAAGCGUUAUCCGGAUUCACUGGGUUUAAAGGGUGCGUAGGCGGAUUAGUAAGUCAGUGGUGAAAGCCCAUCGCUUAACGGUGGAAUUGCCAUUGAUACUGCUAGUCUUGAGUAUGGUUGAGGUGGGCGGAAUGUGUCAUGUAGCGGUGAAAUGCUUAGAUAUGACCCAGAACACCAAUUGCGAAGGCAGCUCGCUAAGCCAUAACUGACGCUGAUGCACGAAAGCGUGGGGAGCAAACAGG
RNAcentral lists this ribosomal RNA (253 nucleotides) under uncultured bacterium. RNAcentral describes it as "partial 16S ribosomal RNA". It matches the Rfam family "Bacterial small subunit ribosomal RNA", at positions 524 to 776 of the family's 1533-position model. The record is from RNAcentral.